CCCACGCCCUUUCGGACCAGAGCCUAAAUCUGGCGCCUUAGACCACUCGGCCAAACCGUCGUUAUGUUGUAACGCUUGUCUUCUACAACUAUUUAACGUAAUGAUUUCACAUAAAGAGCAGCCAUUUUUUCACGGUUUCUUCCUGUUGGAUCUUCUGCACCGUACCGACAAAACUGAAUCUCUGUCGUUCCUAAUGGAGGGAUGACUGGGAAAAACGCCGCACUGAAAAGAGGAGGAGGAAUAUCUGAUAAUUGAGCCUAACCAGUAAAUACCCAGCAGCAGUCCUUUUCCUUCAAUUUUCUAUUCCUUGUUUUUACAUUUUGGUCAGAGUGAUUGUUAUUGUAUUAACCGUCACUUGUUCCAGAAUUGAAGUUCUAUGCACCCAAUUAAAAUCACUUGCUGCAGCUUCAGACUAAUAGAGUGCGAUGGGCAAUUGAAGACGAGCAUCUCUUUUACUAUCUGAUUAUGGUCACACACCAGGAAAAAGGUGAUUGGGACUUUUGGUUUGCUGGUUGAUUCAAGCCUAUUGUCUAAGCUGUCGUGUAUCUUUUUCCAACCUAUCUGCUGGAUAUUUUUUUGAUAUCUUUAUAAUUCUCAGGGAUACCUUCCAGGUUUUGGUUUUGUUUUCAAAGUGAGUAACUUUUAUUGUCUUAAGUUAUCUUUCCCCAUCAGCCUUUGGCAAUUCCUUGAAGUAUAAGCUCGUUUCAUUGAUAUUUUAAUUUUUAAGUUAUAAUUUAUCAUCAUACUUCAAGAUAUCAGCUUGAUAUUUAAACAGUGUAGGAGCAUUGGUAUGGGAUAUGGAUGAAUAUGAGUUGUGCACUUAAAGGGUAUAACAGAGCCUAGAGCAUUUAAGUACAAGUAAUUGGAUUCCGCUGAACCCGUACCUAAUAGGCUAGCUCCGGCUCUGCCUGUAUGAUGAUGUGUGCAACUUGUGUGCUGUUUCGUAGUAUUGGAGAAGUUUUUGCUGAUAAUUGUCCAUAUGUUUCUGAGAGAAUUAAUGGUUUUAUACAGUUGUUUUGGGAUCACAGGAUGCAGAUGAUCAUGUUACUUCUAUUCAGCAUGUAUUCAAACAUACGUGUAACAUAUUUUACACAUAUGGAGAGAGACGUUUUGGAAGAAAAUGAAUUAAAUGGACUGUACAUAAAAGACAGUAAGAUAAUGGAUAUGGUCGCCUAGUAGCUACAAAAGAGAUAAGUAGCUUUUUUGGUUCUUGUAUUAUUAAUAAUCAUGAGGAGGAAGAAACAGCCAACUUUAGGACUUUAACUUCAACUCAAGAUUCCUAUUCUUUUGAUUUUAAGUACACCCACGUAUUCUAUGCUGAAUUUUGAUUCCUGAAAUUUGCCCUAUUUUACUUUUA
This is a long non-coding RNA of Nicotiana attenuata, 1357 nucleotides long. RefSeq lists it as uncharacterized. Lineage: Eukaryota; Viridiplantae; Streptophyta; Magnoliopsida; Solanales; Solanaceae. The transcript is spliced from 5 exons. The record is from RefSeq and is a predicted model, not a curated record.